This 253-nucleotide ribosomal RNA is filed under the name uncultured bacterium. Its description in RNAcentral is "partial 16S ribosomal RNA". It matches the Rfam family "Bacterial small subunit ribosomal RNA", at positions 524 to 776 of the family's 1533-position model. The record is from RNAcentral.
UACGAAGGGGGCUAGCGUUGUUCGGAAUCACUGGGCGUAAAGGGCGCGUAGGCGGCUUUAUAAGUCGGGGGUGAAAGCCUGUGGCUCAACCACAGAAUUGCCUUCGAUACUGUAGGGCUUGAGACCGGAAGAGGUUAGUGGAACUGCGAGUGUAGAGGUGAAAUUCGUAGAUAUUCGCAAGAACACCAGUGGCGAAGGCGGCUAACUGGUCCGGUUCUGACGCUGAGACACGAAAGCCAGGGGAGCAAACGGG